Molecule: long non-coding RNA, 1105 nt
Filed under: Heterocephalus glaber (naked mole-rat)
Lineage: Eukaryota; Metazoa; Chordata; Mammalia; Rodentia; Bathyergidae
Description: lncRNA (ENSHGLG00000047032.1)
Source: RNAcentral
CUACCCAGAGGAUUGUUACACCCUCAAUAGUGUGCUGCGUGUGGUGUCUGUAUGAUGUGACGCAUCGCUUCCCUUGGAGGUCUAGAAGAGGGCAGAAGAAAAUAAAAUUCCUACAGUGGCCUGAAGGAGUCGGACAGGGCUGACUAUGGCUCACUGAAGAGAGAAGGCUGGAGGUGUCCUUUCCCCUACAUACCCUAUGUUUACCACACCAGGACCUGUCAAAAUGUGCUUUUCAUUUGUGCCCAGGGUGCUGUAAGGGGCUGAUAAAAGAAUCCUUCAGAAGAACCCAACUGAUAAAGAGUCCACACUGCUCCUUGAAGCAGACAAGAACCAUGGUCUCUGCCUCCAACCCCAGGUCAGCCUCCCUGUGGCGAUGUGACAGCACUCUCUCCGCUCCACCCUCUACCUCCAUAAAAAUGAAGUAGUAAAACCCAUCAGAGUCACUACAAGCAUUAAAUGUACAGGCCAGCCUGGGACUAGCAUGAAACCAGCAGAAAAGAAAAACUGAGGGACAUUCGGCAAAACAACUGACUUAAAUACUUCAAAAUGUCCACAGAAUAGAACCACACCUCCUUCAAAAAGAAGUGGAGAACUGUUUUAAAGGAGACCGAGAAGCCAUGACAACACAGUGUGGUGCACCAACCUUGAUUAGAUCUGGGAUUUUAAAAAAAGUUAUAAAAGACAUUCAAACAACUGCAAAAAUUCAAAUGUGAAUUUAUAUAUACUUUUUUAUCACAUAAAAUGUCUUAAUUUUGAGGAUGCCAUUGGGUUAUAUAACAGAACAUCCUUUUCUUUAGGAGAUACAUGGUGAAGUUUUAGGGGGUGAAGAUCAUGAUGUCAGGAAUCUAUUCUGAAGUGGUUUAAUAAAACAUACAUAUUCAGGGAGACAAACAAAAGUGGCAAAUAUUAACUGAGGAAUCUAGGUCAUGGGUGUUCAUGGUACUAUUUUUAUAGCUUUUUUGUAGGUUUGAACAAUUUUCAAAAUAGAAAAAAUGGGAAAGGGGUGGGAGACAUCUCUUAGCACAGGGCCAGGCACAAGAAAGCAGUCAGUAAAUAGUAGCUCCUUGUUAUAGUCGUUGACUUUUUUUUUGUACAGAGGAUAAAC